CAGCCGCCGCGGGAAUACGAAGGGUGCUAGCGUUGUUCGGAAUCACUGGGCGUAAAGCGCGCGUAGGCGGCUUAGCAAGUCAGGGGUGAAAUGCACAGCUCAACUGUGGAACUGCCUUUGAAACUGCUAAGCUAGAGUGUCGGAGGGGAUAGCGGAAUUGCUAAUGUAGAGGUGAAAUUCGUAGAUAUUAGCAGGAACACCGGUGGCGAAGGCGGCUAUCUGGACGACAACUGACGCUUAGGCGCGAAAGCACGGGGAUCAAACAGGAUUAGAUACCCGCGUAGUCCCUGUCUCUUAUACC
Molecule: ribosomal RNA, 301 nt
Filed under: uncultured bacterium
Lineage: Bacteria
Description: partial 16S ribosomal RNA
Rfam family: Bacterial small subunit ribosomal RNA
Source: RNAcentral